CGGCAUGCCUAACACAUGCAAGUCGAACGGAAGUAGAAAUACUUAGUGGCGAACGGGUGAGUAACACGUGAGCAACCUGCCUUAUACACAGGGAUAACAGUUGGAAACGACUGCUAAUACCGGAUAAGACCACACUAUGGCAUCAUAGAGGGGUCAAAGCGAAUAAGCGGUAUAAGAUGGGCUCGCGUCCAAUUAGCUAGUUGGUGAGGUAAUGGCUCACCAAGACGAUGAUACGUAGCCGACCUGAGAGGGUGAUCGGCCACAUUGGGACUGAGACACGGCCCAAACUCCUACGGGAGGCAGCAGUAGGGAAUCUUCCGCAAUGGACGAAAGUCUGACGGAGCAACGCCGCGUGAGUGAAGAAAGGUUUUCGGAUCGUAAAACUCUGUUGUCAGAGAAGAACAAGUUGGGGAGUAACUGCUCCAGCCUUGACGGUAUCUGACCAGAAAGCCACGGCUAACUACGUGCCAGCCGCUGC
This 478-nucleotide ribosomal RNA is filed under the name uncultured bacterium. RNAcentral's name for it is "bacterial SSU rRNA". It matches the Rfam family "Bacterial small subunit ribosomal RNA", at positions 40 to 518 of the family's 1533-position model. The record is from RNAcentral.